This 301-nucleotide ribosomal RNA is filed under the name uncultured bacterium. RNAcentral describes it as "partial 16S ribosomal RNA". It matches the Rfam family "Bacterial small subunit ribosomal RNA", at positions 509 to 807 of the family's 1533-position model. The record is from RNAcentral.
CAGUAGCCGCGGGAAUACGUAGGUGGCAAGCGUUGUCCGGAAUUAUUGGGCGUAAAGGGCUCGCAGGCGGUUUCUUAAGUCUGAUGUGAAAGCCCCCGGCUCAACCGGGGAGGGUCAUUGGAAACUGGGAAACUUGAGUGCAGAAGAGGAGAGUGGAAUUCCACGUGUAGCGGUGAAAUGCGUAGAGAUGUGGAGGAACACCAGUGGCGAAGGCGACUCUCUGGUCUGUAACUGACGCUGAGGAGCGAAAGCGUGGGGAGCGAACAGAAUUAGAUACCCCUGUAGUCCCUGUCUCUUAUAC